UGCAGAGAAAGAACAGCAUGCCCGAGACGAAAUGAACUCAGGGCAGCCAAUCUUCACUGUAUUGGUGACAGGCGCUAACCGUUGCGCCACCGGGCCGCCGGCUUGAGUGUACCGGGCCAUUAAACGUAUGUAUUGUUCUUGAAAUUUCAGUCAUCUUGUGUCUAUUUUUUACAACCAUUUUUAUCUCAUACAGCUUUCAUAUCCAGCCACAUUGUCUAAAAUUGUGAUUUGAUUAUUUCACAAAAACCGUGACAACAAAAACAUUUUUCCCUUCUUCACAGGUGUAUAACUAGAGGUCACCGCCGAUGAUCCAUGAUAAAGGGACAUGUAGAGAUAAGAGCUAUACUAGUAACACUUAAACUGUUCUGGAUCAAUGUAUGUCUUGGUUUUCUCCAUUCAGGUAGCCUGGUAUGGUUCUGUACCUCUGCCUCAUAAUCCAGCGUCAGAGAAUUUUCCAAUUUCUGUCCUAAGGUGACAAGAUGUUGCCCCACAGUUGUGGAGGCAGUAGCUGUUGACUAGGUAAAAGAUAUCCAAGUAGCAUUUAUAGCUCACACAACUAAGGGUAAAAACUUGUUUCCUCUUUGUUAAUUGAUGUGAAUGAAAUAAGAUUUGUUUCUCUUGCUCUUAUGUUUUGAUUUAUUGAGAUAUCACCACGAGCCCCUUCAUCUACCAUCAGGCGCAUGGACCGUCACUGCUGGAACCACCGCUGAUAAUGUGUAAGGAAUGUGUACAGCAACCUGUAAACUCCUGUAAGAAAUGUCUAUCAUAAUUUAAAACCCUGUCGAUCUACAGUCAUUUAUGUUUGUCAUAACUUGCAGGACAGUUUGUAGAAAACACACCACGGCUUUUUAGCUCGUCUACCUCAAGCACUCCACAAGAUAAUCUAAUGAAAGGGUUUGGUAAGAAAUCACUGUAAAAGACAAGUUAGACAUCAGAGAUUAGACAAAAAUCAAAUAAAAAUGUUUUUAGAACGUUCAUUUGUUUUGAGUUCUCAUGUAACGUUCUUUAUAUAUAAAAUAAAUACUUUUACAUAUAUAUAAAUGUGGCUAGUUUGACUCUUUCCCUUUAUUUGACUUUUUGAAAGAGCUAAAAGCUUCCUUGUUGCAAUCGUUAGCACACAUUUAUAUAUUCACCAAAAUGUUUGUUAAAGACAGAAAAUACUUGUAUUAUUUCAUUUUCACAUAGUUAUGUUUAGGUAUCUGUCCAAGAGCAAAUUCAUUAAUCAUCUAAAGCUUAAAGGGAGAGAAAUUAAAAGGUUGUUUGCUGAUUUGCUUCCCUUUUUGUGUUCACAGGUCAUAUUACAGGCUUUUCUUGACUGGAUAAAUAUGGAUGAACUCACAUUAACCACAUUUAGCAAAGAUUGACUACAGUUAUAAUCUGCUCCUUUGACUAACCGUUCUUCCUUCCAUGCCGCCAUUUUCGUCUCAGUCCAGUUUCUUGUUUGUGCAAGUCGACAGCGGGAUGAAACAUGUGCCAUGUGGCCAAGCAUCUUGAUGACUCGAGGCAGCAACACUGUCUACAGUUCUUUUGUCCUGCGGAGGUGUAUCAUCAGCAUUCUUGAUUGGUUCCUUCUAGUGACUUCUCUGAUGAGAAAAAAACUGUUGAUGUCACCUUUAAAUCUUCAACGGGGAAAGAACCAUGGGAAAGAAGGGCAGCCACCCCAUCAGAUUAGACACUGGGGAGGCAAGAAUGUGAAUGUUGUUUACUGUCAGCAUCUAAUUUGCUUUCCCACCUACGUUAAGCAUCUUUCUACGCCACUAGAAAUGUGUUGCGAAGCAGCACAGACAAGUCGGGUCCUCCAGUUGUUUCUGUCUCCAGGAUUUUUUUUGGACAAUAAUUUAUGCAUUUAUUUCAGUUUCAUAUACUUUUUUGAUAACGGAGUACUGCAUUCCUUCAGUUGUCAAUCAUAUAGUACAACACAAUUGCCCCCGUUUUAUAUGUUGUCCCCUUUUUUCUGGUAUCUUGGUUAUUUUCUUCAAUUUCUCUCUAUCAUGAUUAUUAUUUUUGUUACAAUUAAUGUUAUUUGUAAAAUUCCUUGAGCUUGCUAAUAGAACUUUGGAAGAUAACCCUAACGCACUCAUCAAUAUUAGCAUAUCUACGGUGUAAAGUGUUUUAAAGCAAAGAUGAUAAGAAAGCUAACGAAAAACAUGUUCUGAACAAUAUUUUUUCAUAUUUAGUAUUGUUUUUUAUUCCGCUCUUCCAAAUGAUUCUUACAUCACUGAAAUGCAGUUAUCUCCCUUCCCUUACAACUUGGAACGAUGUCUUUGAAAAUAUGAAAUGUAAUAACAACCAUUUUGUAUGCUCCAACACUACAGACAUCUCUGCGUCGUGAAAAUUGAGUUGUGAAAAUAAAUGAGUGUAGUGAUC
Pomacea canaliculata is the source of this 2367-nucleotide long non-coding RNA. RefSeq lists it as uncharacterized. The transcript has 2 exons. The record is from RefSeq and is a predicted model, not a curated record. NCBI's taxonomy places the organism in Eukaryota, Metazoa, Mollusca, Gastropoda, Architaenioglossa, Ampullariidae.